CCUGCAGGAGGGGGCAGGAUCAGGGCGGAGUUAGCCCUAGUCUUGAACCGCAUCCUUUCACUUUAUUCCUCACCCCUGGUGAACAGUGCGGACUGAACCAUACUUCCUGUGUCUCACCCCCAACUCAGGCAGCAGCAGCCAUCCUGCAUCAGCCUAUAUACCCAGGCUUACGACCACGGAUACCACACUCUCAUCUGCAUGCCUCGACCUCAGACACACCUGGCUCUCUGAGAUGCUAUCAGCCAUUUAAUUGGAUGACUACAUCCUGGUUCCCGCAUGGAAAGAGCGCUUCAUCUUACAUUCCCUGCUCUCAUGGGACAUGCUCCCUCAGAGCGUCUCACUCCUACCAAGUCAACUACCAUUCAAACUCCCUCAUCUGCAUAUAUCUAGCAUAUAUGGGACUGGUGCUACGGGCCACACUCCCUUAUCUAUAUGCCCCACCCCCACAUCAGUGGAUACCCAGUUCAACAACUCAGAAACCCUUAUUCCCACUGGGACAAACGAUGAUUUCCUAGUUCCUCUUUUAUACAUAUUCCUGCCUUUCAGGGGAAACCAUGAUGCAGGUCACACUCCCUCAUCUGUAUGCCCCACCUUUGGGUAAAACAUAGCUUCCGGGUAAAACAUUUACUUCUGGCACAAUUUCCAAGCGCUCAAGUAGACAUUCCAGCUCAUUAAGGGGCCACUGCUACAAGCUACUCUGCUUCUGACUGAAACAUGGCUUCCAAGCCGCACCCCACAAGGCCAACUAGGGAUGCUUCCCUCCGGUGCUUCGGACCACCCUUUGCAGGCCCUGCUCUUUGUCCAGGUAGUAGAGGCAGCCACCCCUUAUGUGCAUGCCUAACUCUGCCACCAGAAGUCACCAUAUCAUGCUUCCAAACAUUCAUCUUUAAUUGGGUCAGAUGUAGCCAAGCUCACAUGCUCCUUUCCUGCAACAGGUCCCUCCCCUCAAAAGAGGAGGAGUAUAGAGAAGUGGCUAAAAGCCAACCAAACCUGGGAGCCAGACUGCCUGGUUUUGAUAUCUCCUCUGCCCCUUACCAGCUCUGUCACCUCAGGCCUGAGUGGCUCACCAGGGACUGGAACCACACCUUCCUCCACCUGGGACCAUGCGAAACAGCUGCAACACUGCUGAAAGGCCCUGCCCAUCUCCAGGGGCUGCAUACCUCUCCAAGGCCCUCUUCCCCUCCAGCAGGGCCAUCUUCUGAUCCUGAAGCCCCACCCCCAGUCAUCCUGCCUCCCAGGGCCCAGCACCAUGAGCCACCCUCCCACCCAAAGACUUCAAGUAUGGCCACACCCCCAAAAGGGCCAUCUCUCCCACUUUUUGCAGACCACUGCCAGCCCAGCCAACACCCUUGGCCUCUGGCUUUAAGUCUCCCUUGUCCCUCCUCAUCUCCUGUCUUUGAGCCUUGGAUUCCUCUUGCUUCUUCCCCUAAAUAUCCAGUUGCUAGGGGCUCCCCCCUUUUCAAGGACAGAGGCGGGCUCCUUAAGGAAGCUUGGGCCCAUGUGUCUCUAAUUGGCUGCAAGACCAGAGCAAGCAGCUGAGCAGGCUUCUGGUUGGAUGUCACCUCCGCCCAUGGCAGCAGCGAGGAAGUUAACCCCUGCAGUGCCACAGUGCAGGCAUCUGCAAUGGAGUUCCUGAAUGAAGAACAGAAACUGAGGCCCUGAGGAGAAGGGAAAAGUCCCCAGCUGAGGACAGGGGACCAUCAACAUCAGUAUAUAUUCAAGGUUUGGGGCCUUGAACCUUCCCCCAUCCUGCCAGAUGGUAGCCAUGGGUCAAAAAGAAGCAAAGAAACAGGUGGAGACUCACAAAAACUGAGUCAUUUACAGAAAUGUAUUAUCCACCUCCCCUCCACCCUGCCUGGCAAACAGUAGGUGUUCAGUAAGUGUGUGUCUGCAUAAAAAGGACAGCUCUGCUAUUCCUGUGUGACCAAGAGGAAGUGCCUUUCUCCACUGAGCCUCAGUUUCUCUGUUAUAAAAUGAGGAGAGGUCAGGGGAGGCAUGGCAGAGCACUUGCCUAAUACACAGGCCACCAGGCAUCACAAUCCUCAGCACCACAAAAAAAUCAGCAAAUCAAAUCAGCAGGGGGAUGCCGCCUGCUUUGCAACAGAGCUAGGAGUCAGCUGCCGGCUCUGGAGGUGUCUUAUGAAGCUCUUUGUCUCAUUCAUUGUCUACUCUUGGGACACUGGGCCAGUCUAUCUCAGUGGGCCCUGGGACCAGCACAGGGUCUGACACACAGUAGGCAUUUACUCAGUGUUUGGUGACCAGAAUUAAGAAGACAAAAAUGAGGAAAACAGACAAGGGGAAAGAGAGGCAUGUAUGCAUGCAGCCAGCAGUGGGAAUGGGCCUGCUCCAUGCCAAGACCGUGGCCCAGGGAGCCAGCCGAGGAUGGGGAGCAAAAGCCAGGCCUUUCUGAGAAGGUUUCCGCAUUCCCAACAGCCAGAGCUACCCACAGUAGGGAAUGGCUCUGGCCACUUUGGCAUCCACAAGUACAGUUAAGCGCGAGGCAGGCACUCAGCAGCCCCUCUGCAGUGUGCACGAGGGAGAAGCAUCUGUGAAGCCAACGGCUGUUCAUGAAAUGCCCACUGUGUGCCCAUCUGUAGCCAAGAGUCAUACUGAAAACUACCACGAUGGAGAGACACUGUGGGGCCAUGACAGUGAUUUGUGGUGCAUGUAGGGCCCUGAAGGCAAGGACUGGAUCUCUUGGUCUCCUUGGGUCCCCAACACCCAGUUCAGGGCCUAGCACAGAGCAAAGUCUAAGUGCCUUCAUGAGGAGAGAGAGAAGGUAGAGCAGAUGGAGAGAUGCAAGCAGGGAAGUAGGAGACAAUGGGAGGAAGUAACUCCUUUGUCUGUCCACGCCAUCACACCAGGACAGUGACUUCCAACCCACGGGAGGGUGGAAAUAACUUAUAUUUUUGUCAUGCAUUUUGUUUUCUAGGCUGGGGUUGUAGUUCAGUGGUAGAGCGUUGCCUAGAAUGUGUAAGAUACUGGGUUCGAUUCUCAGCACCACAUAUAAAUAAAUAGAAUAAAAGUCCAUUUUUUCUGUAUGAUGUACCCAA
Ictidomys tridecemlineatus (thirteen-lined ground squirrel) is the source of this 3053-nucleotide long non-coding RNA. RefSeq lists it as uncharacterized. NCBI's taxonomy places the organism in Eukaryota, Metazoa, Chordata, Mammalia, Rodentia, Sciuridae. The record is from RefSeq and is a predicted model, not a curated record.